AGGGAAUUUGUCGUAUGGCAUCGAGGAAAGGUAUAUUUAUUUGAACAGUUUUAAAGACUUCCAUUAUUUCAUCAAAGUUAGAUUGUUUCUUGGAGUCCUGAAGUCUACUGGGAAAGGGAACCUUAGGUUUGUAUGUUUCUAUGGGUUCUUCCUUUUUGUCUGAUUUAUCCUGUUCUUGAUCCCUCUUUUGAAUAGGGUUCUUAUCGGAUUCAUUUUUAUUUUCUUUUUCA
RNAcentral lists this long non-coding RNA (230 nucleotides) under Phoenix dactylifera (date palm). Its description in RNAcentral is "long non-coding RNA (PDAC_LNC011857)". The record is from RNAcentral. Lineage: Eukaryota; Viridiplantae; Streptophyta; Magnoliopsida; Arecales; Arecaceae.